Long non-coding RNA from Mustela erminea (ermine), 1537 nucleotides. RefSeq lists it as uncharacterized. The record is from RefSeq and is a predicted model, not a curated record. NCBI's taxonomy places the organism in Eukaryota, Metazoa, Chordata, Mammalia, Carnivora, Mustelidae. The transcript is spliced from 4 exons.
CUUGGAAACCCCAGGACUUCUCCUUUACCUCUCCAAAGCAGAAGAGCUCUCAGCAGUGACCUUGAACCAAGAGCGUACAAAGCCCGAGGAAUCAUCUGACUUCAGAAGGGUACAGAACCCAGCUUCAUGCCUGGAAGGAAUUGUAGUGGCGAUCGUACAUGCUUCCUCCGUGACUUACAAAAAAACAAUCCCUCCCCACCACCCUUCCUGUAGACUUUUGGCUUCAGUCGAUGGCUUCUCCGAGGCUAGUGAGCGAGGCCCAGUGGAAACCGCUGUAUCAGAGAAUGGCCAGCACAGCAGAAAAUCAAAGAAAUGAUCAAGUCCAGUUGGAGUUUCAAAGAAGGCUUUGGAACACACUGGGGGGAAACACAGGAUACGGAAGAGCCAAGCAGCACUUGGGCGUUACACCCCAAUAAACCCUAACUCCAUCUCUGCAUCUGCUUCCCGGGGAGCCCACUCUAUACACAAACCACGGUGACUGACAGGUGUUCCAGAAAGAGACAAGGAUGCUAGGAUAGCAGUGGACUUGGCGGAAGAGGACAACGUUAGCUGGAGGUCAAGUGCACCCACCGUCCCCGAGAAGGUGACAUUGGAGCAGAGACAGGAAGGAGAAGGGAGCGUCAGUCAUGGCCUGAGGACCAGGGAGAGGGCUCCAGGUGGUGUGGGUUGGGAGAGGCUGAGCAGCCGAGUGAUGGGAAAGCCAAUGGACAGGAGCCAGCAGGGCUCGUGGCCUCUUGAGCGCCGCCAGCGGGCCCUGGGGUUCUCCUUCCGGUGGCGUUGGACGAUAGCUCUUCUGUCCUCAGCGUCGUCCCCCUGGACAAACCCAGGUGUGACGAAACAGUGAAACACACCAGUCACUGGUAAUCGCAUCACGACUCAGGGCGUAUGAGCAAAAGUUAUCCCCGCAGUCAGGGCUGUGACCUACAUGAGACGCGCCUGUGGCAGUGGUCAGUUCUGGCCGCUUGGAAAACCGAACUGGAAUUGGAGAGACGGCAAACGGCGUUGCUAUUGAUCGCAGCGGGAUGAACCAUGAGAUGAACCACGGGAUGAUUUCAGGCAGGUGCCCUUCCACGGAGAGCCUGCAGCAGAGCCUGAGACACACACAACCAACGUGGAAUCUUGCUCUUGCAGGCACCACGUCUGCCUGUUUGCACCGUCUUCCUUAACUGUCGGUAACACACCAACAAAGUUCCUUAAAAGAGAGACUCUAACCCUUAAGAUGGCAGACUCUCCCCCACUAGCAGCCGUCCGGGCUGGCUGGUAGGGCCAGCUGGGGGGACAGACCCAGGCAAAGGGAGGAGGAUGGGCGCGAUGACCGCACCCGCCCCGCCUGCCCCAGGGAGGUCCUUUCCAGGCAAGGAUUCCUAUGAUAAUAACGUAGAAUGUGGCAGAGGGCUGCAUUUUAAUUAAUUUUAGUCCCUUUCAAGACCACAGUUAUUAUUAUAAAAACACUGAUAAUACCAAACACAUGUUGAAAAUACACAGCAGGCUGCAGCCCGGGAGACCCGGGGACGUGCUAAGUCAUAUGUCAUCUGGG